CUGUGUAGGGGUCUGAAUUUGACCAAAGAUAACCAAUGGAAUCAACAGGCUGGUGCAGAUAAUUAGCUACCUGUUUAAUAGAUCAUCUUGAUCAUUUUUUUGCAAAGAAUUAACUACCCCAGCUAGAUCCACAUCAGUCAAAUUAUAAUCCAGUAUGAAUAAAGUAUAUUACUACGACAUCAACAUGCAUAUGAUGCAUUGAUGCAUACAGUGAUACAGGCUUACAACAUCAGUUACAUACUCUUAGGCUGUGUUUAGUUUCUAAAAUUGGGGAGAAGUUUGGAGAAAGUUGGUAGUUUGAAAAAAAAGUUAGGAGUUUAUGUGAGUAGAAAAGUUUUGGAUACGAUGAAAAGUUGGUAGUUUGGGGAAGUUUGGUGUGAAGUUAAACAGGCCUAGAUAGGAGAAGAAAGUACAGAAGCAGAAACCAUUAGUUUACAGAGCCCUAAGCUUGCAGCAGCAGCAGCAGCAGAAGUAGCAGAGAAGUGGGAGAGCGAUGUAUCCAUUCCUGCAAAUCCAAGUUGGCAAUUCCGAGGGCCGACAUAUAUCCCACUCCAAGGAGAUCCGACAACGAUGCCCAACCCAAGCAGCUUGCUUGCAUCUCCAUCUCCUCCUCAUCGGAACUCCUCCUCCUCCUCCUCCAUCUCCAUUAUUUCCACCCCGGCAACAAUCCAACCGGACGCAGCCCACGGGCCUUGUUCCCUUCUCACCACCUCCAAGUACGCUUUGCGGGACACUCGCGGCAGCAAGAGUUCGUAUACUCGCCUCUGCUGCUGCUGCACUGCCGCGCCUAAAGCUGAGCAAGAAGAGGAGACUUUGCAGCAAGAGUUGCUACUGUUUGGUUUGGUUCAGGUUGGGGAGCUACUAGAAGAAGGAGGAAUAGCUAGGUUGGGUAGCUCAGCUUUGCUCUCCUUUUAUUUUUUAUUUUUUUUUCUGUUUGUUCCAAGGUUUCUUGCAUCACUUUGCGGCUUAUCUUGUUGGUUUUCCUUCUAUUUUAAGGUUGUGAAUUUCUUGGGGGGACACAAGAAUCGUGGGAUGGAUGGCAAUGCGAGAUCGGCGGCGAAUCAGACGAAGCAAAUCGUCACGGACAACGAGCUGGUGGAGCUGCUAUGGCACAACGGCGGCGUCGUGGCGCAGCCGCAGGCGGCGCAGGCGAGGGUCGUCUCCUCCUCCGGCCGCGGCCAGAGCGCCAGCGUGCUCACCGGCGACGACACGGAGACCGCCGCGUGGUUCCCGGACACCCUCGACGACGCGCUGGAGAAGGACCUCUACACGCAGCUCUGGCGCAGCGUCACCGGCGACGCGUUCCCGGCGGCCGCGGCGGCGGGGCCGAGCUCUCACCACGCUCCGCCGCCGGACUUGCCGCCCCCGGCGGCGAGGCCGCCGAUGAGGAGCGGCAUCGGGUCGAGCUGGACCGGCGACAUCUGUUCGGCCUUCUGCGGCAGCAACCACAUCCCGGAGACGGCGGCGCAGCGCUGCCGGGACGCCGGCGCGGCAUUGCCGCCGGAGCGGCCGCGCCGGUCGAGCACCCACGACGGCGCCGGCACGUCGUCGUCGGGCGGCUCCGGCAGCAACUUCGGCGCUUCCGGCUUGCCCAGCGAGAGCGCCAGUGCCCACAAGAGGAAAGGCAGAGAAGAUUCAGACAGUCGCAGUGAGGAUGCUGAAUGCGAGGCAACCGAAGAGACCAAAUCGUCGUCGCGGCGAUAUGGAUCAAAGAGGAGAACUCGUGCAGCUGAAGUUCAUAACCUGUCAGAGAGGAAGGGAUCGGAUCAACGAGAAGAUGCGCGCAUUGCAAGAACUCAUACCUCAUUGCAACAAGGUAAGAAACAUUAUUAUAUAUGCAUCUUUUUUCUGAUCAGGUGCAAGUCCAUGGACUGAUACAGCUAUGUUGACCGACAAGGCAUCUAUAUUAGAUGAAGCAAUCGAGUAUCUGAAGUCACUCCAAAUGCAAGUUCAGAUCAUGUGGAUGACUACUGGGAUGGCACCAAUGAUGUUCCCUGGUGCUCACCAGUUCAUGCCACCAAUGGCCGUGGGCAUGAAUUCUGCGUGCAUGCCUGCGGCACAAGGCCUAAGUCACAUGUCAAGAUUGCCAUACAUGAACCAUUCUAUGCCAAAUCACAUCCCUCUAAAUUCAUCUCCAGCUAUGAACCCAAUGAAUGUUGCAAACCAGAUGCAGAACAUUCAACUGAGAGAGGCAAGCAAUCCCUUCCUUCACCCAGAUGGCUGGCAAACAGUGCCACCACAGGUAUCAGGACCAUAUGCUUCUGGGCCUCAAGUAGCACAGCAAAACCAGAUACCGAAAGCGUCAGCUAGCACUGUUCUGCCAAAUUCUGGGGCUGAACAACCACCAACCUCUGAUGGAAUUUAGAAUGACCAGAAACAUGAUAAGGAAUUCAAUGUAGGCUUUGCACAAAGGGUCGUCUUUCUGGAGAUAGCUGAAAAUAUUGACAUGAUGAACAGAUUGCAUCCAUAUUGCUGUUAUGUAUCUCAAUCAGUAUCUGUCUGACAUAAAUGCUACAAGUGUCUGUAAAUGCACAUAGCAUUUCCCCCCUUCCCUAAGAUGCUAAUUCCCAGUGUAUGUACUAAUAAUCCUUAUAAUAUGAAGUGCCAGUGGCAAUCUUUGCCCUUCUUUAUCA
This is an RNA transcript of Oryza sativa Japonica Group (Japanese rice), 2633 nucleotides long. It is a transcript of the gene named transcription factor PHYTOCHROME INTERACTING FACTOR-LIKE 13-like, with no coding region annotated. NCBI's taxonomy places the organism in Eukaryota, Viridiplantae, Streptophyta, Magnoliopsida, Poales, Poaceae. The record is from RefSeq and is a predicted model, not a curated record.